AAACUGAAUUCAUACCUGGGAAAUAAAAACUGUUUCAAAUACAGUAACUAAUUGAGGGCUGCAGGUUUUGAUGGGAAAGGAAGGUGGUGGUAAUUCGUGCUUGCAGAAUCAGCUGUGCUGGAGGAGGGGUUAACACCUUUGUAAUUGUGGCAGCUGUGUAGCCAAUUCCUGUUAGUUGGGUUUUUUUGUUGUCAUCAAGAAGGUUUAAAUUGUGCCUGCUGAACUGAAGAGGUCUUUUAGGUGGCUGCCUGGAAGAAAUCCAUUUAGACAUGUCCUAGCUCUACUUCUUCUUUGUUGUUUAAGAACAAUACAUCAGAUAAAUUGAAACACGGAGCUGCAGUCACCAUGAAAGAAAAAAUUAGUGUUUUAGAAACAGCUCUGCGAAUGCUCAGAAAGAUGGCAAGACACUGUGACCUAAAGUGAGAUCACCUGCUGGCUGACACCUUUAGCCUGGUUUAGAAAGAGGGUUCCUGUCAACACUGCUCUUAGGUGUGUGUGUAAGACUCACAUAGAUGCAAAUCUACUGAA
Molecule: long non-coding RNA, 528 nt
Organism: Passer domesticus (house sparrow)
Lineage: Eukaryota; Metazoa; Chordata; Aves; Passeriformes; Passeridae
Exons: 3
Source: RefSeq, a predicted model, not a curated record